This 1275-nucleotide ribosomal RNA is filed under the name Triticum aestivum (bread wheat). RNAcentral's name for it is "partial small subunit ribosomal RNA". The record is from RNAcentral. Lineage: Eukaryota; Viridiplantae; Streptophyta; Magnoliopsida; Poales; Poaceae.
AUGGGCACCGGAGACGCCGGCGGCGACGGCGCGGGCCCAGGCCAGGCCGCCUUCGAGGAGCCGACUCAAACUCUGCAGAUGCCGUUUGCCAAGAAGCUGCAGACACACCGUCCACAAUCAUGGUCAGCCCUGCCAUCAGAUCUUGCUGGUCUGGUCCUUCGUCGCCUCCCUUCCCAUGCCGACCGUGUGCGCUUCGCUGCUGUAUGUCACCAUUGGUGCUUCUCCAGACAAGAGCAUUGCCUGCCCCCACCUUUACCAUGGCUUGCAUUCCCUGAUGGAACCUUGUUCGGCCUUCCCCAUGGAGAAGGGGCAAAAGAAUCCUUCAAGCUCCCCAGCAGUGCCAACUACUGCAUGUCCGGCGGUGACUGGCUUGUCUUCUCACACAAUGGCACCUGUUUCCUAAUGGACCCCUUCUCCGAGGUCACCUUGACGCUUCCUAACAUAUCUUCUUUCUGUCGUGUGGAUGAGCCUGCUGGAAUUAUUAAUGAUCGCCAUGUCAUGGAUGAAUAUAUGGUUGGUCUUGUGCUACACAGGGAUACUGCGAUAUUUCUGCGCAAGGUAAUAAGAUGCUCGGAAUUCCUUGUUUCUGCCAUCGUUGACAUUCCGCCUCUUCGCACUGUUGCAUACUGCCAACCGGGUUCAACCUCAUGGCUGGUCAGUGGACUUGGCAGCAUAGCGUCGUUCAUAGACAUGAUGUUCUAUGAAGGUAUGUUGUAUAUCAUUGACAGGUCCAACAACCUUUUGGGAAUCAACGUCGGAGAGGACAAUGAUAACGGAAAGUUAAGGGUAUCUCGGAUCGAGCGUCUACUCGAUGGUGCCCCCUGCGGCUUUAAGUAUUUCCGAGGUUGCCUCUCUUACUUCGAUUCGUAUCUAGUUGAAUCUCAUGGUGCACUACUGCUAGUACGGAGAGAAAUAUUUUAUAUACGUGAUAAUGACAUGAUUGGUGCUACCAAGCCUGCAGUAGGGAUUGAAUUCGAGGUGUCUCAGUCAGACUUCCAGUCCCGAAGUUGGGUGAAGGUGAGCAGUGUUGGGGAUGACCAGGCAUUGUUCAUCAGCAAGGGUUCCUCCAGAUUUGUUGACGUGUCUCGGUACAAGCUGAAUGGGAAUUGCAUAUACUUCCUGGACGAUGGCAGCUGUGACUGGUUCUGGAAGGAUGCGCCAAGUUCAUGUGCAGUAUAUGACAUGCGGGAUGGAAAUUGUUUCUUCAUACCACUGCCGACAGUACGAUCCAAGGACGUCAAAAUGCUAGCGGCAUGGCUUUUCCCUCAGAGCUGA